UCUGAUCCAUAAGGCACAAACGUAGGAAGGGGCCUAACUCUUCUGCACCCCAUGCAGAUUGUUCAUAGACACGGGGCAGCUCCUCCGAGGCCAGAAGAGUCUGCAGGGAUACCAGAAAAGUCGUUACAGAUUACAGUGUUUUAAAACCAGUUGAAUAAGUUGUCGACAUUUAAAUAUUAGGAGAGUUCAAAUAAAAAUCUUGACAAUUUGGAAGAUCUGGCAACACUGGAUCCACAGUCCCACAUGACGAUGAUGGGCUCCAGUUCUGUGUGGUCCACUUACUUUGGUGCACUGACUCGGUCAUCUUAUCGACUCCUCACAUUAAUUCUGUGAGAGUUUUGCUCUUGUUGCCCAGGCUGGAGUGCAAUGACAC
Nomascus leucogenys (northern white-cheeked gibbon) is the source of this 373-nucleotide long non-coding RNA. RefSeq lists it as uncharacterized. The record is from RefSeq and is a predicted model, not a curated record. The transcript has 3 exons. Lineage: Eukaryota; Metazoa; Chordata; Mammalia; Primates; Hylobatidae.